CGUGGGGAGAUCAGCGUAUCCGGACCGCGCUCAGAGGGAAGCCAUGAUCCUGUCGUCCUUUGCUGGAAUCAUCAUGAGCAGCGUCCCGCUGGAGCAGAUCCUGGAUCUGUACAGCUGCAAACCCGUGGCUCUGUACCCCAGCCACUCGUCCCAGCCGCAGGGUUCCAUCGUGUACCCCCUCACUCUGUCCCACCACCCGUUUGCCAUGUUGGCGUCUUACAAAGCCGUGCUGCACUCCAGGAAGCACA
This is a non-coding RNA of Oryzias latipes (Japanese medaka), 248 nucleotides long. The record is from RefSeq and is a predicted model, not a curated record. NCBI's taxonomy places the organism in Eukaryota, Metazoa, Chordata, Actinopteri, Beloniformes, Adrianichthyidae.